CUUUGCCACCCAGCCCCACUGGGCACCAGAUGGUUUGUCCCAUCAAGAUGGAGCUCUAAACAGAAGACAAAACAGUGCCACAAGGAAAUGCUAAGCCCCUUCUCUGUCUUCCAGGUUGUCUGCAGCCAGAGAUGGAUCCUAACUGCUGUCUGCAGCCAGAGAUGGAUCCUAACUGUUGUCCGCAGCCAGAGAUGGAUCCUAACUCAGAACCUGGGCCACCUGUAAUAGUGAGACAAGACACAGGUUGCACAGAUGGAAGACUUCCCAAAAAAAAAGCAGAUUCCAAAGCCCAGAUGAUAAAACACGGAAGGGCAGUCUUCCCGCAAGGAUGCAGGGAGACAUCGAAGAAGAAAACGGUGUUAGGUACCAAUGAGCCCUUUACAACGCUGCACAAAAAAGAGAUAAUAGGAAGAAUCAAGAGCACCCAUGCGGGGAUUGGGAACAGAGGACGGCUGAAGGGCGAGGCCAGGACUCCAAAGUUGAGCGACUCCCACCACAGGAACAGAUCUCGACUGCUCGAGUGCAACGAAGCCCAUGAAAGAAGGUGCGUGGGUGGCGUUCUAAAGAGACGCGAGGCCCAGACAACCAAUCAGAAAGGAAUUCCAAGAAGACUGGAAUCUCAAGUAAGGUUUCAAACAAAGCUCGAAAAAGAAAUUUCAGCUGAAGCCCUUUGGUGUGAACCAACACCACCAGUUUGCAGAAAUCCGGAAUCCCUCAUGAGGAAAAAUGUGGAAGGCAUACUGAAGAGACAGGAUUCACUUGAGGAAUAGCCACCGGCCACACAGAACCCCCAAGAAUGGUGUGCUGCUCCACCUCCUUGCCCUCUGCAACCCCAGCCAGAUGCACCUCCUCCUGCUACAAUUUAAGCCCCGCCAGAGGCACCUCCUGCUCCACCACGUGGGCCAUAGGGGCUUCCACUGUGAUCUUCAGGUUCAAGCUGUGUCUCUGCCCUCACCCCGGUGGAACAUGGUUACAAAAUCCAUUUCCUCUAGACAUCUUCGUUUUCUGCUAUUCAGAAGUUUGCCGUUAUUAGACUUCCCUGCCACAAACUACAUCUUCCCAAUUUUUCUCUGUAAGCCAAUACGUAUUAUAGACUCCAAUGAAGAAAGACAGUGUUCUCAGAAAUAAAAUGUCUUUACUAAAUAUCUAAUAACAUCCUUUGGCAGUGUUCUGUCUCUAGCUCACCUAGUUGACCUUAUGACCUUGAUGGCUGCAAAUGCUUUAUGAUCCACCAAAAAAAAAAAAAAAAAAAACCCAUAGGAAAUAAAGUCAGACCUCCUGCAACCAAGCAGUUUAUGACAGAAAGUGUCCAUGUAAGCACAAUCAUUUUAUUAAGAAUCAGUAUUAAAAUGUGUCCAAAAGUAGUUUAAAUGCAC
RNAcentral lists this long non-coding RNA (1376 nucleotides) under Cricetulus griseus (Chinese hamster). RNAcentral's name for it is "lncRNA (ENSCGRG00015037386.1)". The record is from RNAcentral. Lineage: Eukaryota; Metazoa; Chordata; Mammalia; Rodentia; Cricetidae.